This 255-nucleotide ribosomal RNA is filed under the name uncultured bacterium. Its description in RNAcentral is "partial 16S ribosomal RNA". It matches the Rfam family "Bacterial small subunit ribosomal RNA", at positions 99 to 354 of the family's 1533-position model. The record is from RNAcentral.
CGGACGGGUGAGUAACGCGUGGAAAACCUGCCGUAUACUGGGGGAUAACACUUAGAAAUAGGUGCUAAUACCGCAUAAGCGCACAGCUCCGCAUGAAGCGGUGUGAAAAACUCUGGUGGUAUACGAUGGUUCUGCGUCUGAUUAGCUAGUUGGUGGGGUAAUGGCCUACCAAGGCAACGAUCAGUAGCCGGCCUGAGAGGGUGAACGGCCACAUUGGGACUGAGACACGGCCCAAACUCCUACGGAAGGCAGCAG